Molecule: long non-coding RNA, 398 nt
Filed under: Capsella rubella
Lineage: Eukaryota; Viridiplantae; Streptophyta; Magnoliopsida; Brassicales; Brassicaceae
Description: long non-coding RNA (CRUB_LNC001026)
Source: RNAcentral
AAGCUUCUUUCAGUGCAAGAAACACACAACAAAAUUUGGGGACGGAUUACAGCUUUGGAUAGCUACACGUAGCUAAUCUCUUCCCUUCUCUAUACACUUUUUAAAGGUUUUUCAAAUUUAGUUUUGAUACAAGGAUCUCUUCCCUUCUCUAUACACUUUUUAAAGGUUUUUCAAAUUUAGUUUUGAUACAAGGAUCAAGGAUGCAUUCAUUGUAAAAAGGACUUUUUGUUUUAAAUAUAUUUUCACAUUCAUUAAAAAAAAAAAUAAUCAAAAUAAUAUUAAAUUAUAAGGAUUAUAUAUUUAGAUAAGAAUUUAAUAUAGUUAUAUUUAUAUUACAUAAAGCAUAUUGUGUACAUGUGUAGUGUUAAUAUGUUAUAGUAAAGAUUUUACAAAAAAAA